Molecule: non-coding RNA, 86 nt
Organism: Podarcis lilfordi (Lilford's wall lizard)
Lineage: Eukaryota; Metazoa; Chordata; Lepidosauria; Squamata; Lacertidae
Source: the annotation of a GenBank genome assembly
GCUGGGAUAGCUCAGUCGGUACAGCAUGAGGCUCUUAAUCUCAUUUGGCAUCAGGUGCAGAAACUGAUAUUCUGAGAAUCUCAGUU